Non-coding RNA from Salvia hispanica, 3207 nucleotides. The record is from RefSeq and is a predicted model, not a curated record. NCBI's taxonomy places the organism in Eukaryota, Viridiplantae, Streptophyta, Magnoliopsida, Lamiales, Lamiaceae.
GUUGCGUCAACAUCUUUAUAGUAAGACCAGAUCAGCAAACCACCAUUUUCUCUUUCCAAUUUCCUCCUCUUCUCUCUCAUCAUAUAAGCGCACUCUCCUAUGCAUUCCUAUGUUUCCUCCCUUUCUCAUCAAUCAAUAGGGUUUACUUUUUUCUCAGGUAUGCUAAACUCUCAUAUUUCUUCCUCUUCACACCCUCUGCUUCACCUCAUAUCAUUUCUUACACACUAAUUGAGCUGCUAUUGUGUGCAUAUUUUUUUUAUUUUUUGUGGGAAUCACCAGUUUUAAUUGUUGCUUCUUCCCUUUUGCUCAAUUUGGAUAUUUACUUGUAGUUUCCCAGUUAUCACUGCCUCUAAAGAUUCAUUUUUUUUGUAUUGCUUGACUACCAGUAUGAGCAGUUUGGGGGAAUUUUAUUGAAUUUACAUUGAUGGGGCGAUUUUGGGUGGUUUGAAAUUUGAAUUUCUAGAUAUUAUCUUUUCUUCUAGUUGGUAGUAGAAGAAGAAGAAUGGAUCCAAGAUUUCAUGGAAUCUUGAAUUCUUCGAGUGGAGUUGGAUUGGAGAAUCAAUCAAUUUCUGGCUAUUCAAAUGGGCAUAGAUUUGGGAUUAGUUAUCCAGAUCAGAAAUUAGUGAAUGGACAUAGAAAUCAGGGUUCCUCAUUUCAAGAACAUGGCAUUGGGGGUGUGCAUUUGGUCCUAGACCAACCCUUCUCGAACAGGAAUGGGGAGGGGGCUGUCUCCAGCUCAUUCUUGGACAUUGAUGAUGACUGUGAUUUCUCGGAUGCUGUCUUGAGGUACAUUGAUCAGAUACUGAUGGAGGAGGACAUGGAGGAGAAGACUCACAUGCUUCAGGAGUCAUUGGAUUUGCAGGCGAAGGAGAGGUCCUUCUACGAGGUUCUUGGGAAGAAGUACCCGCCUUCGCCACAGAAAGAACCAGGGGCCACUGGCCAUGAGUGUGGAGAUGAUAGUAAUCCUAAUUUUAGUUGCUUUAACUCAACAACUAGCAGUAGUGAUGGAAGUGGAUACCUAAUUGACAUUGUUGAUCCGAGUUGGAUGAUCAGCACUCGCGCGGAUCAUGAUGUCAGUACAUCUUGUCGUGCUGCUAAGUCAUCCGUUUGCUCCACAUUGAAUAGCACGAGCAAUUUCCUAGUAGACGGUUGGUUCUCUGACUCUCCAGUGAGCCCCCUUCAAGUACGUGAUAUGUACAACGAGAACCAGCUCGUGUGGAAUUUCAGAAGGGGGGCUGAUGAAGCUAGCAAAUUCCUUCCUGCCGGGAAUAAUUUGUUGGUGAGUGCCGGUGUAGACACCUUAGCCACUCAGGAUGCGAGGGGAGGGGAGUUUGAGGCUAGAAGCGAUGCGGAGAAGCAGUUGCCUUCUGCAUCACGGGGAAAGAAGAGUCGUUCUACAUCGGACAUGGAUUUGGAAGAAGAGAGAAGUUGUAAAGUGCUGGCUAAUUAUGCAGAAUCAGACUCAGAACUCCCUGUGGAGGAAUUUGAUGAUGUCUUGCUUCACACGCUGGGGGAUCCCGAGAAGAAGUUUGCAGCUUUCAGAGAAGUCCUGCAGAAUGCAUCUUGCAAGAGGACUCAGCAGAAUGGGAAGACGAAACGGCCUACUGGCGGGAGGGGCCGAGCUAAGAAACAGAACAAGAAAAAGGAAGUGAUAGAUUUGAGAACCCUUUUAAUCACCUGUGCACAGGCUGUUGCUGCUGAUGAUCGUCGGAGUGCCAGCGAUCUACUCAAACAGAUCAGGCAGCAUUCCUCUCCCUAUGGUGAAGGGAACCAGAGGCUAGCUCAUUAUUUUGCUGAUGGCCUCGAAGCACGUCUGGCUGGAACGGGUAGCCAGAUUCAUAAAGCUCUCGUUAGUAAGAAAACAGUCGCAGCCGAUUACUUGAAAGCUUACUAUACUUACCUAGCAUCGUCUCCGUUUAAGAAGAUCUCCAAUUUUACCUCAAACAAGACAAUAAUGUUUGAGUCAAUAAAAGCAGCACGUGUGCAUGUUAUAGAUUUUGGGAUCCUUUACGGCUUCCAGUGGCCGACAUUAAUCCAGCGUAUAUCUGACCGAGAAGGUGGUCCUCCAAUGCUUCGGAUAACUGGCAUAGACUUCCCACAGCCUGGCUUCCGACCUGCAGAGAAGAUUGAGGAGACAGGGCGUAGAUUGGCCCGUUAUGCCAAAAAGUUCAAUGUGCCAUUCGAGUACAAUGCUAUAGCUAAGAAGUGGGAGAACAUCAAAUUAGAGGACCUCAAUAUCAAGGAGGGUGAAUUUGUGAUCGUAAACAGCAUGUAUCGGGCCAAGAACUUACUCGAUGAGACGGUCCUGGCUGAGAGCUCGAGAUCUAUGGUUCUUAACUUAAUUAGGAAGAUCAAUCCGGACCUUUUCAUACAUGGGAUAGUAAAUGGGGCUUAUAGUGCGCCAUUCUUUGUCACUCGUUUCCGGGAGGUACUAUUCCACUUCUCAGCUCUAUUUGACAUGCUGGAGACGAACGUGCCUAGGGACCAGCCGGAGAGGAUGCUUAUUGAGAGGGACAUCUUUGGGAGCGAGGCAUUGAAUGUCAUUGCUUGUGAGGGCUGGGAGAGAGUUGAGAGACCCGAAACGUACAAGCAGUGGCAAGUACGUCACCUGAGGGCAGGCUUCACGCAAGUGCCUCUUGAUAGGUGGAUCAUGGAGAGGGCAAUCUACAAGGUCAGGACACAUUACCACAAAGACUUUGUCAUCGAUGAAGAUAGCCAUUGGAUGUUGAUGGGUUGGAAAGGGCGGAUCAUCUACGCCAUAUCGUGCUGGAAGCCCGUUUGAGGGGAGGUUUGUUCUGCAUCUCUUGGCUCUCGACUUUCAACAUCAUCUGACUUCUUCAAGGCUCAUGAAACGAACGGAGGCAGAGGUGGAGGCGAAGGCGUCACGUAGCUUGACAAAUUGGUUCCUCCAUUGAUGAAGGGUAACACUAGAAUUUCAAUACAGAAGUAUUCUUAACUUGUUAAUGGUGAUAAGAAAUCCAUAAUCUUGUUUGGUUGAUGCUGCAUUCAAUCAUGUGUAAAGGAACUAUUUGCUAGAAGAGUCUUGGUCACAUUUCAAAUUAUUUGCAAGGUCUCUCUGUAUGUUCUUGAAUAUGAUUUGAUACUUUAGAAGUGAACUUAUGAUAGCUCUUGUUUUUGGAGGACUAGUCAGUUGUUUAUAAAGUUCAUCAUGAAUUUUAUAAUAAUUUGAGUAUUUGGUUUGUUUUA